UACGAAGGGUGCUAGCGUUGUUCGGAAUCACUGGGCGUAAAGGGCGCGUAGGCGGCUUUUCAAGUCAGAGGUGAAAGCCUGGAGCUCAACUCCAGAAUUGCCUUUGAAACUGUAAAGCUUGAGUAUUGGAGGGGAUAGCGGAAUUCCUAAUGUAGAGGUGAAAUUCGUAGAUAUUAGGAGGAACACCGGUGGCGAAGGCGGCUAUCUGGACAAUAACUGACGCUGAGGCGCGAAAGCGUGGGGAUCAAACAGG
RNAcentral lists this ribosomal RNA (253 nucleotides) under uncultured bacterium. Its description in RNAcentral is "partial 16S ribosomal RNA". It matches the Rfam family "Bacterial small subunit ribosomal RNA", at positions 524 to 776 of the family's 1533-position model. The record is from RNAcentral.